Molecule: ribosomal RNA, 482 nt
Filed under: uncultured bacterium
Lineage: Bacteria
Description: partial 16S ribosomal RNA
Rfam family: Bacterial small subunit ribosomal RNA
Source: RNAcentral
AAUGAACGUUGGCGGCGUGGAUUAGGCAUGCGAGUCGUGCGAGAACCGUAGCAAUACGGGGACAGCGGCGAAAGGGAGAGGAAUACGUGGAUACCUACCCUCAGGUUCAGGAUAGCUAUGGGAAACUAUAGGUAAUACUGAAUAAUAUCUCCGGAUCAAAGGUGUGAUUCCACCUGAGGAGGGGUCCGCGUCCUAUUAGCUAGUUGGUGUGGUAACGGCGCACCAAGGCGAAGAUGGGUACGGGAUGUGAGAGCAUAAUCCCGCUCAUUGGGACUGAGACACUGCCCAGACACCUACGGGUGGCUGCAGUCGAGAAUCUUCGGCAAUGGGGGAAACCCUGACUGAGCGACGCCGCGUGUGAGAUGUAGGCCUUCGGGUUGUAAGUCACUGUCGUAGAGGAGGAAAUGUAGGUGGGUUCUCCCAUCUAUUUGACCUAUUCUAGGAGGAAGGACGGGCUAAGUUCGUGCCAGCCGCCGCGGUAA